GUGUGUAUUAGGGGGGGACGGUCGGGCGGAGGUAUUAUGUAACCAAGUGCACACAGCCCUCUGAAACAAUUAACAUCGCCACAGGCGAAAAAAAAAAAAAGAGCAUGUUCCGUCACAGGACUAAAGAAGAGUACUGUACAAUAUCUAGAGCUAAUACUAGAGGUCGACAGAUGUCUGUUAUAUAACCAAUACUGGAAUACUAAAGAGGAGUACUGUACAAUAUCUAGAGCUAAUACUGGGGGUCGACAGAUGUCUUAUAUGAUUAAUUCUGAGGACUAAAGAGGAGUACUGUACAUUAUUUAGAGCUAAUACUGGAGGUCGACAGAUGUCUUAUAUGAUUAAUUCUGAGGACUAAAGAGGAGUACUGUACAAUAUCUAGAGCUAAUACUGGGGGUCGACAGAUGUCUUAUAUGAUUAAUUCUGAGGACUAAAGAGGAGUACUGUACAAUAUCUAGAGCUAAUACUGGAGGUCGACAGAUGUCUGUUAUAUAAUUAAUACUGGAGGUCGACAGAUGUCUGUUAUAUAAUUAAUACUGGAGGUCGACAGAUGUCUGUUAUAUAAUUAAUACGGGAGGACUCAAGAAACCUCUAUACACAAAUCGAGGAAUACAGAGGACCUCUGAAGCUUGUUGGACUUGUUGGUCCAUCGUUUUAGUUUACCAUCAUAAAACCAUUAACUUUGUUUUCAAACAGUGUAUGUAUAACAUUUUAUUUGUGCAUGGUUUUCAUUUAUUUAAACAGGUAUUUGCAAUAAAAAUCACUUGAUUUUAUACUUG
Gigantopelta aegis is the source of this 776-nucleotide long non-coding RNA. RefSeq lists it as uncharacterized. Lineage: Eukaryota; Metazoa; Mollusca; Gastropoda; Neomphalida; Peltospiridae. The record is from RefSeq and is a predicted model, not a curated record. The transcript is spliced from 2 exons.